Molecule: long non-coding RNA, 1653 nt
Organism: Hibiscus syriacus
Lineage: Eukaryota; Viridiplantae; Streptophyta; Magnoliopsida; Malvales; Malvaceae
Exons: 3
Source: RefSeq, a predicted model, not a curated record
CGUAUCCACCCACCAAAGUCAAAAUCUUUAGUUUUCAUCGUGCGUCUUCUUCGAUCUUCAGCUCUUCCAUGAUUCCAUGAUGGAAUGACUUUAUUUAGCAGAAAGUGAAGAUUUUCAAUCAUCGGAAACAGUUCGUUAGCAGGCGCAGCAUCAUAGCAGAAUUCCCAAAUCAAUUAGAUAUUUCUUCAUUAGAGAUUAAUGAAUCACAAGGGACACAAAGCUCACAAUCAUGCUGUAAUAGUUCAACUCAAAGUUCAUAAUGUUCUUCUACAUGUGAAGUCAAUGCUCCAAAGAGUAAUAAAGGUGUUCGAAAGAAACAAAAACCAAUAGCAGCAUGCUGGAAUCAUUCCAAAAAAUAUGUAGUUGAAGAUGGGGAGGAUAGGGCAAGAUGCAAUUAUUGUGACACGACUUACUGCAUGGAAACUGGGAGUUCUACAACCAGUCUGAAUAAUCAUUUGAAGGUAUGCUUAAAAAAACCUCGAAAGUGACCUCGAAAUAACAAUACUUCAGACUGACCACGAACGUGAAGCGACAAAACUUUCAACUUGGAAGUUUGAAGAAGAGGCUAUUAGAAAGGUGUUGAUUCACAUGAUAAUCGUGGAUGGGCUACCAUUUCGAAUUGUAGAGGGGAGAAGGGUUUAAGUCAUUUAUUUCUUUAACAUGCACAAGGUUUCAUCUCCCUUCUAGUUUUACAAUUAGGAGGGAUUGUCUUGAUUUAUUCAACUGCAUGAAGAAGUUAAUGAAGAAUGCUUUUGGAAAAGAUACAAGUAGAAUUUGUUUGACAACUGACACUUGGACUUCACUACAAAGGGUAUCUUGCAUGGUUCUACCGGCAGAUUGGAUAGAUGAUGAAUGGAUGUUGCAAAAGAUAAUCAUAAGCUUUUGUCCGAUAUAUGCUCAUAGAGGUGAAAGCAUAGGUCAAACUCUUGAAAAGUGCAUCCGAUAUUAGGGGAUUGAGAGGGUUUUCACUGUUACAGUUGAUAAUGCAUCUGCUAAUGGUGUUGGUAUUGAAUAUCUGAGAAAGAAAUUGAACCAUCGAAAUACUUGUGUUGCAAGUGGGAAAUAUAUGCAUAUGAGUUGUGUUGCACACAUUAUUAAUCUCAUCGUUCAAGAAGGUGUUAAGUAUGCUUAUGUGUCUGUUAAUCGAGUUAGAGCUGCUGUGAGAUACAUAAUGGCAUCACCAUCAAGAAGGAAAAAUUUCUAUGAUCAGGAGAACCGUGAGCCAUGAAGGUCAAUAAAAUAGUCUGACAUAAUUGUCCAUGUUUAUGGACUAACAUCAAUCAAAGGCGAGUUUGGCCAUGCAACAAUAUUUGUUGAAGAAACAAGUUGGUUUGGAACAAAAUUCUGAGUUGGAUAAAUAUUUAGUUGAGGAGGAAGAUGAAAGCAACUCGAGUUCAUUUGGUUUAUUAUUGUGGUGGAAAGUGAAUAGUCCAAGAUACCUUGUUCUUGCACAAAUAGCUCAAGAUGUUUUUUUAUUCAUAUAUCGACAGUUGCCACAGAAAGUGCAUUCAACACCGAUGGACGUGUUUUAGAUGGUUUUAGAAGUUCAUUAACUCCGACAAUGGUUGAAGCUUUGAUUUGCAUCAGGAUUGGCUUCGAAAAUCUAAGGAUCCCAUCAAUCUUGACGAGCAUGUUGUAGAACUUCAAGACAUG